GAGAGAUCUUCCAGGCGACUCCGGCCCAUGGAGGAUGCAGAGCAUCACAUCAGAUCAAACAUUGAUAAACCAGUACUUUACCAGCGUUUUAUCAAUAUCUUUAAAGGACGGGGAGUUUUUGCCACUGAAUUCAUAUCCAAAGGAGACUUUGUUGUGGAGUACCGAGGUGAACUGCUUACACAACAGGAGGGCGAGGUCCGAGCUGAUCAGUACAAUGAUUCUGCAAAGGUGUUUCUUUUCGAUUUCCAAUGGAAAGGAAGAACGUGGUGCAUUGAUGCAUCUGAAGAAGACUCCUCCCUUGGGAGACUCGUUAAUGAUGAUCACUAAAGACUCAAUCUCAAAAUGAAGGCCAUACAAGCAAACGAUGAGCCACACUUGUGCCUCUUCGCGACUCGAGAUAUUGCAGCUGGCGAAGAGUUGACUUAUAGUUACGGUGAUUCAGACUGGCCAUGGAGAACACAGGUCAUCAAAACUGAAUUGUCGUCCAGCCCAAAACCUGGUAAGAACUUUACUAAAGUCAUAGAUCAAUAUGAGUUUAUUUUCCUUCUAUUAUCACAUUUACUAUUUCACUUUCACAAAUACACAUUUAUAGUCUAACAUCAAUUGCACUGGAAUGCAGUGCACUUGUUGCAUACAUCAAAAGUUACCUAAAUAUACAAUACAUUCAAAUAUAUGAAAUAAAAACCUUAUCAAUAAGAACUCAGUAGUUAGGCUCUUGUGGGCUCAUUUAGUAGCCCAACUAAUGAGGGUAUUGCUCUUCUCCUGAAAAGUUCAGUCCUGCAUCUGACCAGAAUAGGAUGUUCAAAACUAAACGCUACACCAGGCAUUUCCUGUG
Long non-coding RNA from Salvelinus fontinalis (brook trout), 835 nucleotides. RefSeq lists it as uncharacterized. Lineage: Eukaryota; Metazoa; Chordata; Actinopteri; Salmoniformes; Salmonidae. The record is from RefSeq and is a predicted model, not a curated record. The transcript has 4 exons.